CGUUCUCGGGCCUUGUACACACCGCCCGUCACACCAUGGAAGUGGGAAACACCCGAAGCCGGUGGCCUAACCUUUUAGGAAGGAACCGUCGAAGGUGGGGCUCAUGACUGGGGUG
RNAcentral lists this ribosomal RNA (115 nucleotides) under uncultured bacterium. RNAcentral describes it as "partial 16S ribosomal RNA". It matches the Rfam family "Bacterial small subunit ribosomal RNA", at positions 1369 to 1482 of the family's 1533-position model. The record is from RNAcentral.